GGUCGGUUAGCUCAGUUGGUUGAGCUUGGUGCUGAUAACACCAAGGUUGUGAGUUCGAUCUCUGUUCGGUCC
Molecule: transfer RNA, 72 nt
Filed under: Apaloderma vittatum (bar-tailed trogon)
Lineage: Eukaryota; Metazoa; Chordata; Aves; Trogoniformes; Trogonidae
Rfam family: tRNA
About the family: Transfer RNA (tRNA) molecules are approximately 80 nucleotides in length. Their secondary structure includes four short double-helical elements and three loops (D, anti-codon, and T loops).
Source: Rfam by way of RNAcentral